UACAGAGGGUGCAAGCGUUAAUCGGAAUUACUGGGCGUAAAGCGCGCGUAGGUGGUUUGUUAAGUUGGAUGUGAAAUCCCCGGGCUCAACCUGGGAACUGCAUUCAAAACUGACAAGCUAGAGUAUGGUAGAGGGUGGUGGAAUUUCCUGUGUAGCGGUGAAAUGCGUAGAUAUAGGAAGGAACACCAGUGGCGAAGGCGACCACCUGGACUGAUACUGACGCUGAGGCGCGAAAGCUAGGGGAGCAAACGGG
Molecule: ribosomal RNA, 253 nt
Filed under: uncultured bacterium
Lineage: Bacteria
Description: partial 16S ribosomal RNA
Rfam family: Bacterial small subunit ribosomal RNA
Source: RNAcentral